Molecule: ribosomal RNA, 440 nt
Filed under: uncultured bacterium
Lineage: Bacteria
Description: partial 16S ribosomal RNA
Rfam family: Bacterial small subunit ribosomal RNA
Source: RNAcentral
CCUACGGGAGGCAGCAGUGGGGGAUAUUGCACAAUGGGGGAAACUCUGAUGCAGCGACGCCGCGUGCGUGAAGAAGUAUUUCGGAAUGUAAAGCUGUAUUAGUAGGGAAGAAAAUGACAGUACCUGAACACGAAGCCACGGAGAACUACGAGACAGCAGCGGCGGUACUACGUAGGAAGCAAGCGUUAUCCGGAUUUACUGGGUGUAAAGGGAGCGUAGACGGUUUUGUAAGUCAGAAGUGAAAGCCCCGGGCUCAACCCCGGGACUGCUUUGGAUACUGUGUAACUGGAGUACAGGUGGGGUAGGCGGAAUGUCUGGUGUAGCGGUGAAAUGCUUAGAGAUCAUACAGAACACCGACGGCGAAGGCAGCCUGCUAAACUAAAACUGACGUUGAGGCCCGAAAGCGUGGGGAGCAAACAGGAUUAGAUACCCGAGUAGUC